RNAcentral lists this ribosomal RNA (1370 nucleotides) under uncultured bacterium. RNAcentral describes it as "bacterial SSU rRNA". It matches the Rfam family "Bacterial small subunit ribosomal RNA", at positions 28 to 1381 of the family's 1533-position model. The record is from RNAcentral.
GAUGAACGCUGGCGGCGUGCCUAAUACAUGCAAGUCGAGCGAACGGACGAGAAGCUUGCUUCUCUGAUGUUAGCGGCGGACGGGUGAGUAACACGUGGAUAACCUACCUAUAAGACUGGGAUAACUUCGGGAAACCGGAGCUAAUACCGGAUAAUAUUUUGAACCGCAUGGUUCAAAAGUGAAAGACGGUCUUGCUGUCACUUAUAGAUGGAUCCGCGCUGCAUUAGCUAGUUGGUAAGGUAACGGCUUACCAAGGCAACGAUGCAUAGCCGACCUGAGAGGGUGAUCGGCCACACUGGAACUGAGACACGGUCCAGACUCCUACGGGAGGCAGCAGUAGGGAAUCUUCCACAAUGGGCGAAAGCCUGACGGAGCAACGCCGCGUGAGUGAUGAAGGUCUUCGGAUCGUAAAACUCUGUUAUUAGGGAAGAACAUAUGUGUAAGUAACUGUGCACAUCUUGACGGUACCUAAUCAGAAAGCCACGGCUAACUACGUGCCAGCAGCCGCGGUAAUACGUAGGAAGCAAGCGUUAUCCGGAAUUUAUGGGCGUAAAGCGCGCGUAGCGGUUUUUUAGUCUGAUGUGAAAGCCCACGGCUCAACCGUGGAGGGUCAUUGGAAACUGGAAAACUUGAGUGCAGGAGAGGAAAGUGGAAUUCCAUGUGUAGCGGUGAAAUGCGCAGAGAUAUGGAGGAACACCAGUGGCGAAGGCGACUUUCUGGUCUGUAACUGACGCUGAUGUGCGAAAGCGUGGGGAUCAAACAGGAUUAGAUACCCUGGUAGUCCACGCCGUAAACGAUGAGUGCUAAGUGUUAGGGGGUUUCCGCCCCUUAGUGCUGCAGCUAACGCAUUAAGCACUCCGCCUGGGGAGUACGACCGCAAGGUUGAAACUCAAAGGAAUUGACGGGGACCCGCACAAGCGGUGGAGCAUGUGGUUUAAUUCGAAGCAACGCGAAGAACCUUACCAAAUCUUGACAUCCUUUGACAACUCUAGAGAUAGAGCCUUCCCCUUCGGGGGACAAAGUGACAGGUGGUGCAUGGUUGUCGUCAGCUCGUGUCGUGAGAUGUUGGGUUAAGUCCCGCAACGAGCGCAACCCUUAAGCUUAGUUGCCAUCAUUAAGUUGGGCACUCUAAGUUGACUGCCGGUGACAAACCGGAGGAAGGUGGGGAUGACGUCAAAUCAUCAUGCCCCUUAUGAUUUGGGCUACACACGUGCUACAAUGGACAAUACAAAGGGCAGCGAAACCGCGAGGUCAAGCAAAUCCCAUAAAGUUGUUCUCAGUUCGGAUUGUAGUCUGCAACUCGACUACAUGAAGCUGGAAUCGCUAGUAAUCGUAGAUCAGCAUGCUACGGUGAAUACGUUCCCGGGUCU